Molecule: non-coding RNA, 181 nt
Organism: Dermacentor andersoni
Lineage: Eukaryota; Metazoa; Arthropoda; Arachnida; Ixodida; Ixodidae
Source: RefSeq, a predicted model, not a curated record
ACGGACGGACGGACGGACGGACGGACGGACGGACGGACAAUUACCUAUACGCUUCUUACGUAUUUAUGAAGUGGAUUACUUUUCGGAGGCUGACUGUGCUUGCACGAGAAAUUACAAAGUACAGUUAAAUAACAGCCACUGAAGAAGCCAUUGUGUCCUCAGCGUACAUGACCAGAUCGGG